AACGAACGCUGGCGGCAGGCCUAACACAUGCAAGUCGAACGCCGUAGCAAUACGGAGUGGCAGACGGGUGAGUAACGCGUGGGAACAUACCCCCUCGGUUCGGAAUAACUUAGGGAAACUUGAGCUAAUACCGGAUACGUCCGAGGUUUUAACCGGCCUCGGAGAAAGAUUUAUCGCCGGAGGAUUGGCCCGCGUCUGAUUAGCUUGUUGGUGAGGUAAUGGCUCACCAAGGCGACGAUCAGAGCUGGUCUGAGAGGAUGAUCAGCCACAUUGGGACUGAGACACGGCCCAAACUCCUACGGGAGGCAGCAGUGGGGAAUAUUGGACAAUGGGCGAAAGCCUGAUCCAGCCAUGCCGCGUGAGUGAUGAAGGCCUUAGGGUUGUAAAGCUCUUUUACCCGGGGAAGAUAAUGACGGUACCGGGAGAAUAAGCCCCGCUAACUUCGUGCCAGCAGCCGCGGUAAU
RNAcentral lists this ribosomal RNA (464 nucleotides) under uncultured bacterium. RNAcentral describes it as "bacterial SSU rRNA". It matches the Rfam family "Bacterial small subunit ribosomal RNA", at positions 29 to 524 of the family's 1533-position model. The record is from RNAcentral.